GGGGCUGAUCGGUUUCGACUGAGGACGUACGUCCCAGGGGAAGCGGGUCGAGAAGCCAGCGUCAUCUCGUAAACGAUCGCUGGAAACCAAUAACUGCCGACAACAAGCGCAGUGACUUCGCUCUCGCCGCCUGAGCGGUGAUCGAAGCGUCAGACCGGGUGCCCGUCUCCGACCCGGAUCCUGGCGUCAUCUAGGAGACUUGCUGCUCACCUUCUGUCAGGAGAGGUGAGCGGGACUCUUUCCUGACUGGGCCUGUCGACGACGUGUUCGUGCGAGCGUCGGGGCCGAGAAAACGACACCACGAACUGCACCCGGAGAAGACCUGGCACUGCGCCGCAGGACGCGGGUUCGAUUCCCGCCAGCUCCACAG
RNAcentral lists this transfer-messenger RNA (370 nucleotides) under Nocardioides imazamoxiresistens. It matches the Rfam family "transfer-messenger RNA". Rfam says of the family: Bacterial tmRNA, also known as 10Sa RNA or SsrA, is named for its dual tRNA and mRNA-like properties. Its role is to liberate the mRNA from a stalled ribosome. Lineage: Bacteria; Bacillati; Actinomycetota; Actinomycetes; Propionibacteriales; Nocardioidaceae. The record is from RNAcentral.